ACACUGCACGGACAGGCGAUAAGGAAUCCCAAGUGCACAGGCAUAGAGCCUGUGCUUUUGUACACCCUUAGGGCGGUGUACGAAUAAGGGCUGGGCAAGACCGGUGCCAGCCGCCGCGGUAAUACCGGCAGCCCAAGUGAUGGCCGAUCUUAUUGGGCCUAAAGCGUCCGUAGCUGGCCGCACAAGUCCAUCGGGAAAUCCACCUGCCCAACAGGUGGACGCCCGGUGGAAACUGUGUGGCUUGGGACCGGAAGGCGCGACGGGUACGUCCGGGGUAGGAGUGAAAUCCCGUAAUCCUGGACGGACCGCCGAUGGCGAAAGCACGUCGCGAAAACGGAUCCGACAGUGAGGGACGAAAGCCAGGGUCUCGAACCGGAUUAGAUACCCGGGUAGUCCUGGCCGUAAACAAUGUCUGUUAGGUGUGGCUCCCACUACGAGUGGGUGCUGUGCCGUAGGGAAGCCGCUAAACAGACCGCCUGGGAAGUACGUCCGCAAGGAUGAAACUUAAAGGAAUUGGCGGGGGAGCACUACAACCGGAGGAGCCUGCGGUUUAAUUGGACUCAACGCCGGACAUCUCACCAGCAUCGACUGUAAUAAUGACGACCAGGUUGAUGACCUUGUCCGAGUUUCAGAGAGGAGGUGCAUGGCCGCCGUCAGCUCGUACCGUGAGGCGUCCUGUUAAGUCAGGCAACGAGCGAGACCCGCAUCCCUACUUGCCAGCAGUACUUCACAGUAGCUGGGGACAGUACGGAGACCGCCGUGGCCAACACGGAGGAAGGAACGGGCAACGGUAGGUCAGUAUGCCCCGAAUGUGCUGGGCAACACGCGGGCUACAAUGGUCAGGACAAAGGGUUCCAACUCCGAAAGGAGACGGUAAUCUCAGAAACCUGAUCGUAGUUCGGAUUGUGGGCUGCAACUCGCCCACAUGAAGCUGGAUUCGGUAGUAAUCGCGUGUCACAAGCGCGCGGUGAAUACGUCCCUGCUCCUUGCACACACCGCCCGUCAAAGCACCCGAGUGAGGUCCGGAUGAGGCACG
RNAcentral lists this ribosomal RNA (1036 nucleotides) under Halorubrum sp. UL12. RNAcentral describes it as "bacterial SSU rRNA". It matches the Rfam family "Archaeal small subunit ribosomal RNA", at positions 352 to 1386 of the family's 1478-position model. The record is from RNAcentral. Lineage: Archaea; Methanobacteriati; Methanobacteriota; Halobacteria; Halobacteriales; Haloferacaceae.